CGACCACUCUUUCUUUGCUUAAUUAAUUCCCCUGUUUUCUAUAACGGUAUCGAUGUGAUACGGUUUACCUUUAAGGUUAGGCUACCAGCCUUUGAUUUUGUUCGUUUUCGGCUGCAAACAUCUUGCAAACGGUAUUAUCGUGGCUGUGGGUACCAAGUAGAUUCCCGAGCAGCCAAUCGAUGUGCCAUCGUUUACACGGCCGAACAAUUCGCCGUAAACAAUUGGACUGAACCGUACACUGCCGAUCGUUUUACGAAUGAUGUUUCAUCACGAAAUGAUAUAAUCAGCCAACAUAAAGAAGAACAUGAGACAUUCCUCUUACACAAUUACCGACCGUGACGGCGCACAACGCCAUCAGAUAUUUUCCUCAAUGUUUAUAGAGUUGUUCACAAGGCCAAUUGGUUAGCGAUCGCCAGC
This is a long non-coding RNA of Daphnia carinata, 417 nucleotides long. RefSeq lists it as uncharacterized. The transcript has 3 exons. Lineage: Eukaryota; Metazoa; Arthropoda; Branchiopoda; Diplostraca; Daphniidae. The record is from RefSeq and is a predicted model, not a curated record.